AGUGGUUGUAGACGCGAAACCUUGCGAUCUACCCUUGAGCAGGUUGAAGGUUGGGUAAAACCAACUGGAGGACCGAACGAAUAAGCGUUGAAAAGCUUCUCGAUGACUUGAGGGUAGGGGUGAAAGGCUAAUCAAGCUGGGAAAUAGCUCGUACUCCCCGAAAUGCCUUUUGGGGCAGCGUUGUAAUAAAGAGUCUACUGGAGGUAGAGCUACUGAUUGGAUGCGGGGGCUUCACCGCCUACCAAAUCCUGACAAACUCCGAAUGCCAGUAGUAUGAUUUACAGCAGUGAGCGACCGGGUGCUAAUGUCCGGUUACGAGAGUGGAACAACACAGACCAGCAACUAAGGUCCCCAAGAGUAUACUAAGUUGAUCUAACGAUGUUUUGCUGCAGAGACAGCUAGGAUGUUAGCUUGGAAGCAGCUAUUCAUUCAAAGAGUGCGUAACAGCUCACUAGUCGAGCGGCAAAGCGUGGAUAAUAAACGGGCAUCAAGUAUACCACCGAAGUUCUGGGCACGAAAGUGCGGUAGGGGAGCAUUCCAUUCCGCGUUGAAGCCGAACCGUGAGGUUUGGUGGAGUGUAUGGAAAAGCAAAUGUAGGCAUGAGUAACGAUAAUGCGGGAGAGUAACCCGCACACCGCAAGACCAAGGUUUCCUGAUCAACGCUAAUCGGAUCAGGGUUAGUCGGGUCCUAAGGGUAAGCCGAACGGCGAUCUCGAUGGAUAAUCGGUUAAUAUUCCGAUACUAACAUAUACCUCGAUGGAGAGACGAAGGAACGUAAGUGCCGCCACCUGACGGAAUAGGUGGUUAAAGGGCGUAGGUAUAGGGGCAGAUUAAGAGUUAGUCCUUGCUGAAACCUGACAGUACAGAGAGCCUACGGGCAAUUUGAUAGUGCACCCAAGUCGACUUCCGAGAAAAUCUUCUAAGUUAUAGUAUAUGUUACCCGUACCGUAAACCGACACAGGUGGUCGAGGAGAGUAUCCUAAGGUGCUCGAGUGAAUCACGGUUAAGGAACUAGGCAAAUUAACCCCGUAACUUCGGGAAAAGGGGUCCCUAUGAAAGUAGGGCGCAGCGAAGAGGUCCAGGCGACUGUUUAUCAAAAACACAGGGCUCUGCAAAUUCGAAAGAAGACGUAUAGGGCCUGACACCUGCCCGGUGCUGGAAGGUUAAGAGGGGAUGUCAUCGCAAGAGAAGCAUUGAAUCGAAGCCCCAGUAAACGGCGGCCGUAACUAUAACGGUCCUAAGGUAGCGAAAUUCCUUGUCGGGUAAGUUCCGACCUGCACGAAUGGUGUAACGAUCUGGACACUGUCUCAACCGUGAGCUCGGUGAAAUUGUAGUCCCGGUGAUGAUGCCGGGUACCCGCAACGGGACGAAAAGACCCCGUGAACCUUUACUAUAGCUUAACGCUGAAUUUGGGUACACAAUGUGUAGGAUAGGCCGGAGGCUUUGAAGCGGGCACGCCAGUGUUCGUGGAGCCGACGUUGAAAUACGGCCCUUUGUGUAUUUGAGUUCUAACCCUGCGAAGGGGACACCGUUUGGUGGGUAGUUUGACUGGGGUGGUCGCCUCCAAAAGCGUAACGGAGGCUUCCCAAGGUACCCUCAGCACGAAUGGUAACCGUGCGCGGAGUGCAAUAGCAUAAGGGUGCUUGACUGUGAGACAUACAAGUCGACCAGGUACGAAAGUAGGGUAUAGUGAUCCGGUGGUUCUGCGUGGACUGGCCAUCGCUCAAAGGAUAAAAGGUACUCCGGGGAUAACAGGCUGAUCGCCGCCAAGAGCUCAUAUCGACGCGGCGGUUUGGCACCUCGAUGUCGGCUCGUCACAUCCUGGGGCUGGAGAAGGUCCCAAGGGUUCGGCUGUUCGCCGAUUAAAGUGGCACGCGAGCUGGGUUCAGAACGUCGUGAGACAGUUCGGUCUCUAUCUGUUGCGGGCGUAGGAAGAUUGAGGGGUCCUGACUUUAGUACGAGAGGACCGAGUUGGACGAACCUCCGGUGUAUCGGUUAUGCUGCCAAGUGUACUGCCGAGUAGCCGCGUUCGGUCUGGAUAAGCGCUGAAAGCAUCUAAGCGCGAAGCCAUCCCCAAGAUAAGUCUUCCCUUGAGGGGCGUAGGAGACUACUACGUUGAUAGGCUGCAGGUGUAAAGACAGCAAUGUCAAAGCCGAGCAGUACUAAUUACCCGAUAGGCUUUCUUUU
Molecule: ribosomal RNA, 2187 nt
Filed under: human gut metagenome
Description: bacterial LSU rRNA
Rfam family: Bacterial large subunit ribosomal RNA
Source: RNAcentral